Phalacrocorax carbo (great cormorant) is the source of this 3680-nucleotide non-coding RNA. The record is from RefSeq and is a predicted model, not a curated record. Lineage: Eukaryota; Metazoa; Chordata; Aves; Suliformes; Phalacrocoracidae.
AAGCCAGUGAAAGGUGUUAAACCACUGGAGAAGACCUCUAGCACUGAGGAAGUCAGUGGGCAGAAUGGCAGGUGAUCACAAAUGAACACAUGUUGAAACGUGCAUGAAGAUGAUGAUAACCUGCAGCAGUUGCCUGGUUUCUUGUCUUGCUUGUAUUCUCUGAUUUGAGGCAUAAGAAGAGCUCAUCCUGUUCUACCUGAGGCUCCCAGUACUAGAUGGUAAACUUGUUGGGGCAUACUCGUACAUUGCUCAUUUCAUAUAAUAUGAGAUCAAGUAGCUGUCAAGACAUGUUGGGCAGAUAUCUACAAAAACAAUAAUAUCUAAAGAUCCACAACAAAAAGGAAAAAUUUGGAAGGUCUUCAGUCAGCUCUGAACAGCUGCAAAUUUUGCUUUGGAUGAAAUAAUGAACCCAUCUAAGGGUCUCUCUGAAAACAGUCUUGCCGAGUUAUACUUGUCAGAAGUUGUAUUUGGCUUCUCAGUUUGAUAUAUUCCCAAAAAAAGGAAUUGGAACAAGCACCUAGAACUGGGUAAGUCAGCAGGACAUCUGGGUAAGAUUAGGGUGUAUAAAUAAAAAAAUAGUGGCCUUAUAUGCAUUUGAUUUGCAAAAAUAAGGCACUUGAGAUGCUGCUGAAGUUGCUUUGGUAUUACCUAAAUCUCUCACUCAUUUAUUUAUAUUCAAAUUCUACACUAUAUAAUAUGAUGUGCAAGAUAAGCCUCCAACCUAAAAUCAGCCAAUGCCCUUAAGGCCAUGAUACAAGUGCUUCUAUUUGUAUAGUAUUAACUAUUAUAUUCCUCUUGUUUUAUAGCUAGAUUUCUGUAACGAAAAUGAGUGGUUUUACUGGCAAUUAACAAUACAGAAACUAGUGAGGAAAAAAGGAAUUAGUGUAGUUGCAAACACAGUGAAACAGAGGCAAAUUAUUGUUACAGAAUGUUUUAUAUUUGCCAUUUGGAUUCCUGUUUCUUUUUGUUUAUUUGAGGAUAUUUUUGUGCAUGAACAGAAUGAAUGUUUUUUGCACAAAGGCAACUAUUUAUGUAAAUGCAUAUUUAAUUGCAUAAAGAUGGAUUUGCCUAAAUUAUUAUUUUAAUUUUUAUUUUUGGAGACAAUUGUGUCAUCUUGUAUGACAACGAUUUUUUACUUGAAAGUUGUAACCCUUUGUUAAAAAAAACAUUGCACAGUCAGGUAGCCAUCAUGAUGUUCUACUUCUCUACUGUUGUUUUAAGAAUGUAAUUUUUUAUACUUUUGGGAAAAACUGAUAUUAAUUUGGAAGUAUCUAUAUAUGUAUUUACUUAUUUUUGCCAAGCUUACUGGUUGAAGGCACGUCCAUCAGCCACAAAUCAGGGACUUCAGCAUAAUAUAGAUGCUGUAUGUUAGCUGAAGGGAAUAACUAAGGGCUGUUCAUAUAGUGAAAGACAAAAAAUUGUCACACACCUUUGUGCAUGUACAUGUGUGCUGUAAUAAAGUUGUAAUAAAGCUUUUCUGCAUGCAGAGCCAAAUGGACUUCAUUAGGGUAGCAGAUAAGGUAUUUCCCACAGUUAACGACUCUACUGCUGUAUUUCAUAUAUAUUCCAAAUUUUCAUUUAUCAUCAUGAAAGGAGCUUAUUCCCUGAAUGCCCUUUACAUAUGGUAAGAAGGUCUCAUGGGGCUCUGGCCAGCACGCAGUUCAGUUCUUUGCUUGCUGAGGAAACAAAUGCCAUAUUGAGUAUAUGCUACAAGAGCCACCAAGUCAGAGAAUUCGCAGGUAGAAAUUAUUUUAUACUUUAGAUGGCCACAGAGUCCUCCUGUUUACAGCAUUAAAACCCACCGUGUUUUGUCCUUUUUCUGUCUGGCCCAGUAAGUAUUAAGCUUUGAAAACAUUAUUCACAUAUUAACUGGGAGACUACUACCAGUUCAAACAGUCAGGGCUCCUGUAUUCAAAAGGGUGCUGAGAAGUGUUUUCUAAAUGAAUAAACAUCAGUUCACAUUGUGGAAUGGGUGGCAGCCCAAGUUAAUCAAUAAUUUAAUUACCAGUGACCCAUUUUGCUUACUUCUAGUUGAAAGGGAAUUUCUGCAUUCUUGCAUAAGUUAUCAUUUAUUCAACUUCUCACAGAUGGAUUCAGAUGAUGCUUUUCCUGCCUUGAGGAUGAGAUGAGCUUAAUCCAAUAUUAUAAAUGAAAAACAGGUGUCCAGAUACACGUUCUUUUCCUCAUAGCUUGCAUCAUAUUUAUUUACCUAAAAUAAUUCCUAACUCAAAAUUUGCUGCCGAAAGUUUAACUUACCUUCACUUAAGGUGAGUGUGACUGUGGAUGCGAUUGCUGCAGCAACAGAAAAUGACUGUUAGCAAUGUUUUUUUAAAGUUGCAAGCCCUUGUGAGAAGGCCAAUGUUCACAUCUUCUAGUUAUUAUUAUUAUUCAUUUUUAUUGGGAAGGCAGCUGGCUGGAGCUCCAGAAAUAGAACAGGUUUAAAGUGAAGCAGAAAUUCUCAUUUGUCUCUAAAAAUAGGUCAUCUUCCAGUAUGGAAUUUGAACUGCCAGCUUUUAUGCUUCUGAAUUCCCGAAGUUAUUCCUGUUGGAUUUAUCUUCAUACAAUUUUAAUAUAAACCCUUUGAAAUUGGAUGCUGGCUGAAGUGUUUCUUUGGCUUGAAAGUCUGUGUUUGACUUGCAGUUGUUUCAGUUAAAAAAAGAAAAGCUGGAUGAGAACAGGUGGUGUGACAUACAUCUUUUUAAUAAGCAUUCUGGAUUUAUGCAGUGUGUGGCAUUAUAGUCAUCACCACAGUCAGGUGUGCAGCAGAGAAGCACGCAUUACAUACCCUUGAAAGAUUAAACUUGUAUUUUAUCUGCUUUUUUGAUUUCUGAUAGUAUGAUAUGCUCUAUAUAGAUGCCCUAACUCUUUGCAACAAAUUAUUGUGCAUGUAUUAAUUAUAAUACUGGCUAGAAAUGUAAACAGAAAUCAGGAUAUUCAUGUCUUAACUCUGAAUGAGGAAAUCAGGAGACCAUUCUUACUCCAAACUGAUAGCAAGCAACAUGGACAGCACAAUGGUAGCAUUAAUACCUCCACUAUGCAGAUGAGAAACCUAUGUGCAGGAAAACGUAAAUUAUUGUCCCAGAAGCACUAAGCCUAUGUCUAGACACCAUAAUGUGGGGAACAUCUGAGUUUCUGACUCAGGAUGUGCACGAAGGCCAUGUCUGGAUCACGUUUUGGGGUGAAACCCAUGUGCAUGCCAUCCAUCCCUCCCCAGAUCCCUGCUUUCCAUAGGAAGGGAUGUGAGCCAGGCUGGAGCUACAGUGAACCCAAGAGAUGCCCAGCCUGGUCAGUCAGGGAGCUGGAUGCAGGUAAUGGAGCACCUUGGCAGAUAGGUGUGCUUCAAGCAGAGCCAAAAAAAAAUGUAAAACUCUAACCUUUGCAAUGCUCACUCCAGUAUUCAGGUGCAAAUCUGUCCUCCAUGGGACCAAACAUUUAGCAGGAUUAAAAUGUUCAAUUGGUUCUCAGUGUGUGGGAACAGUAUUUUAAAUAGGGUGAUGGGGAAAUGGCUGGAAUAGUUCCACUAUUGUCCAGAGCCACUUGCUGGAUCCUGGGAACAGCAAUUCUGUGCAGCCCCCCUUCUCAAUCUGCAGAGGCACGGAGUAGAUUCAUUAGGCAUUUUGGAAUGUGCAAUGUUUAUUUUAAAAAAUAAAAUGUCUGCUAUGUCAUGAGUGGGUUACUGA